This 512-nucleotide transfer RNA is filed under the name uncultured Alphaproteobacteria bacterium. RNAcentral describes it as "partial 16S-23S ribosomal RNA intergenic spacer". The stretch from base 110 to 184 matches the Rfam family "tRNA". Lineage: Bacteria; Pseudomonadati; Pseudomonadota; Alphaproteobacteria. The record is from RNAcentral.
CCUCCUUUCUAAGGAUAAUAGAUAACUAGUUCGCUAGUUAUCCGGGUUGUUGCCUUCAUAUCUCUUCAUAUCGAAUAGCUAGCGCAAUGUGUACCCUAUAUCGUAAUCUGGGCUAGUAGCUCAGUUUGGUUAGAGCGCGCGCUUGAUAAGCGUGAGGUCGGAGGUUCAAAUCCUCCCUGGCCCACCAUUAUAUUUGGGGGAUUAGCUCAGCUGGGAGAGCGCCUGAUUUGCAUUCAGGAGGUCGUCGGUUCGGUCCCGAUAUCCUCCACCAAUAAAUAGCUAUGUGUCUUAUUUUGUUCUUUAAAACGUGAAUAUGAAAACUAACAAAACUGAUCAAAAUAUUUUUAAAAUUAUAAUACGUAAUACGUACAUAAAUUUUUCUCUGUACGUAAUUGCAAUCAAGCGCAAAAAGGGCAUUUUAGUGGAUGCCUUGGGCCUCAAGAAGAACGAUUAAAGGACGUGGGCAGGCUGCGAAAAACUAAGGGGAAUUGCCAACACACUUUGAAUCCCUU